GGGCUGGUGGCGCAAUGGCUAGCGCAUUGGUUUUCGGUUGUUUCUUGACGUGAGAUCACCAAAGGUUGUGGGUUCGAGUCCCAUCUGGCUCG
Transfer RNA from Pneumocystis jirovecii, 92 nucleotides. It matches the Rfam family "tRNA". Rfam says of the family: Transfer RNA (tRNA) molecules are approximately 80 nucleotides in length. Their secondary structure includes four short double-helical elements and three loops (D, anti-codon, and T loops). NCBI's taxonomy places the organism in Eukaryota, Fungi, Ascomycota, Pneumocystomycetes, Pneumocystales, Pneumocystaceae. The record is from Rfam.